ACCUACGGGGGGCAGCAGUGGGGGAUAUUGCACAAUGGGGGGAACCCUGAUGCAGCGACGCCGCGUGGGUGAAGAAGCGCCUCGGCGCGUAAAGCCCUGUCAGCAGGGAAGAAAAUGACGGUACCUGAAGAAGAAGCCCCGGCUAACUACGUGCCAGCAGCCGCGGUAAUACGUAGGGGGCAAGCGUUAUCCGGAUUUACUGGGUGUAAAGGGAGCGUAGACGGCUGGCCAAGUCUGAAGUGAAAGCCCGGGGCUUAACCCCGGAACGGCUUUGGAAACUGGCCGGCUGGAG
Molecule: ribosomal RNA, 292 nt
Filed under: uncultured bacterium
Lineage: Bacteria
Description: partial 16S ribosomal RNA
Rfam family: Bacterial small subunit ribosomal RNA
Source: RNAcentral